UGGGGAAUAUUGCACAAUGGGGGAAACCCUGAUGCAGCGACGCCGCGUGAACGAAGAAGGUAUUCGUAUCGUAAAGUUCUGUCCUAUGGGAAGAUAAUGACAGUACCAUAGAAGAAAGCUCCGGCUAAAUACGUGCCAGCAGCCGCGGUAAUACGUAUGGAGCGAGCGUUGUCCGGAAUUAUUGGGCGUAAAGGGUACGCAGGCGGUUUAAUAAGUCGAAUGUUAAAGAUCGGGGCUCAACCCCGCAAAGCAUUGGAAACUGAUAAACUUGAGUAGUGGAAAGGAAAGUGGAAUUCCUAGUGUAGUGGUGAAAUACGUAGAUAUUAGGAGGAAUACCAGUAGCGAAGGCGACUUUCUGGACACAAACUGACGCUGAGGUACGAAAGCGUGGGGGGCAAACAGG
This 403-nucleotide ribosomal RNA is filed under the name bacterium. RNAcentral's name for it is "partial 16S ribosomal RNA". It matches the Rfam family "Bacterial small subunit ribosomal RNA", at positions 355 to 776 of the family's 1533-position model. The record is from RNAcentral.